UUCUGACAUUAAGUCCUAAGUUUGGUUUAGGUACCGGAUUAGGCUUGAUGUGUAUUUUGUUAGUGUAGGCCUGACAUUGGCAUGUAUGUGUUUGAGGGAUUGCUUGUGAAGGGUGGUGGAUAUUGAAGCUAUGCGGUAUCAUUGGUUGGCCGAUCAUGUUCUUGUUUGAUUGUUGGUCGACCGGCUCAUGAUACUUGUAUAGUCUAAGUGUCUAACACUACAUGAGUACUGAACUCAGGCGUAUAUAUGGUUAACUAAGGAUUUGUUGUUGACUUGUUUUAAAUGCAGGUUCCCGUUACUUGAAGCUAGAUCAUGGCAGGAGUCCAAGUCUAACUUAGUAACGGUUUGCUUAGCCUUAGCUUAUAUUGCAUGCUAGGGCUAGAUUGAUUGUUAUUUUGGGUUGUUUGGGUUAGAGUCUAGUUUGCGGGUAGAGGCCGCCAGCUCACUGAGUAAUACUAGAUUACUCAUCCAACUCUGUUGUCCUUUUUGCAGGUCGCUUUAGGUAAGGAUGAUUGG
Molecule: long non-coding RNA, 516 nt
Filed under: Brassica napus (rape)
Lineage: Eukaryota; Viridiplantae; Streptophyta; Magnoliopsida; Brassicales; Brassicaceae
Description: long non-coding RNA (BNAP_LNC026986)
Source: RNAcentral